Canis lupus familiaris (dog) is the source of this 688-nucleotide long non-coding RNA. RefSeq lists it as uncharacterized. The record is from RefSeq and is a predicted model, not a curated record. The transcript has 4 exons. NCBI's taxonomy places the organism in Eukaryota, Metazoa, Chordata, Mammalia, Carnivora, Canidae.
UUCAACUUGCAUACCUGAAACUCUUAAACCAUUAAACAAUAAGUGAAUGGAUAGCCCCAUGUCCCCCUCCCAGGACCUGGCAACCACCACUCAACUUUAUGUCUCUAUGAAUUUGACUACUCUAUACACAUCAUAGAAUCAGCCAAACUAUAGAGAAGAUUUAACUUGCAAUUCAAAUGACAAUUCUGGUGCUACAUAUAUAAGGUACUAAUAAAUACUAAGUGCAGCUAUGUUCUUGCCUGGAUUCUGCUACUCUUCAGCUUCAGGAAAGUCAUCUACAUCUUCUGUUCUUGAAGUUAAUGGCUUUAUGAAGAAGAUAUUUUCUGGUGCCCUGCAGUAUAGUGUCCACUGUUCCCCAGGACCUGGCCUUUCAGGGAGUGUCUCCAAUGUGUGCUGCUAGUGCUCUGCUGUUGGGUGUUGGCCACUUUAGCCUUCAGACCAGUCAACUGCAGAGGCUCUCUUUGCCUGUUUGGAGCAGUGUUUGGUUCCUGGCCUCAAAGGGAUAUGAGCAAAGAAGCAGGUUGUCUGAUUGGUGCUGUUAGCCAUCUUGUGAACAUAUGAAAGGCAUACCUGAGGAUGGAGCUGACAAAUGAAGAAGCCAGAAUCAAGAGGGCCACAGAGAAACGGGACCAUAUUACUGAUCAUACCAUGCCUGAAGUCUGCCCUACCUAUGAACUUCUCAAUUAAA